Molecule: ribosomal RNA, 499 nt
Filed under: uncultured Glomeromycotina
Lineage: Eukaryota; Fungi; Glomeromycota
Description: partial small subunit ribosomal RNA
Rfam family: Eukaryotic small subunit ribosomal RNA
Source: RNAcentral
CCAAUAGCGUAUAUUAAAGUUGUUGCAGUUAAAAAGCUCGUAGUUGAAUUUCGGGAUCAAGGUGCUGGUCAUGCCUUUGGUAUGUACUGACAUCAUUGAUUUCUCCCUUCUGAUGAACUGUGAUGUCAUUAAUUUGGUGUCAUGGAGAAUCAGGACUGUUACUUUGAAAAAAUUAGAGUGUUUAAAGCAAGCACACGCUUGAAUACAUUAGCAUGGAAUAAUGAAAUAGGAUUUUUGAUCCUAUUUUGUUGGUUUCUAGGAUCGACGUAAUGAUUAAUAGGGAUUGUUGGGGGCAUUAGUAUUCAAUUGUCAGAGGUGAAAUUCUUGGAUUUAUUGAAGACUAACUACUGCGAAAUCAUUUGCCAAGGAUGUUUUCAUUAAUCAAGAACGAAAGUUAGGGGAUCGAAGACGAUCAGAUACCGUCGUAGUCUUAACCAUAAACUAUGCCGACUAGGGAUCGGAUGAUGUUAAUUUUUAAUUACUCAUUCGGCACCUUACG